UACGUAGGAGGCAAGCGUUGUCCGGAAUUACUGGGCGUAAAGCGCGUGUAGGUGGUGGGACAAGUCUGCUGUGAAAGCGCCUGGCUUAACCGGGCGAGGUCGGCGGAAACUGUUCGACUUGAGGACGGUAGAGGGGGGUGGAAUUCCCGGUGUAGUGGUGAAAUGCGUAGAGAUCGGGAGGAACACCUGUGGCGAAGGCGGCCCCCUGGGCCGGCCCUGACACUGAGACGCAAAGGCGUGGGGAGCGAACGGG
Molecule: ribosomal RNA, 253 nt
Filed under: uncultured bacterium
Lineage: Bacteria
Description: partial 16S ribosomal RNA
Rfam family: Bacterial small subunit ribosomal RNA
Source: RNAcentral